Molecule: microRNA precursor, 94 nt
Filed under: Canis lupus familiaris (dog)
Lineage: Eukaryota; Metazoa; Chordata; Mammalia; Carnivora; Canidae
Description: mir-8799 microRNA precursor family
Rfam family: mir-8799 microRNA precursor family
Source: Rfam by way of RNAcentral
GGGGGCAGCGCCAGAUCCUGGGCUGUGUCCCCCAGCGUCCUGGGCUCUGGGGCCUGCACCACUGGAAUUGCCUCCCGGGGCUGCUCAGCCCCCU